UUCCGGUUCCCAUACGAUCACUGAAGUUAAGCAACGUCGAUCCUGAUCAGUACGUGGAUGGGUGACCGCUUGGGAAUACUAAGUGCUGUAAG
This is a non-coding RNA of Acanthosepion pharaonis, 92 nucleotides long. Lineage: Eukaryota; Metazoa; Mollusca; Cephalopoda; Sepiida; Sepiidae. The record is from the annotation of a GenBank genome assembly.